This 342-nucleotide ribosomal RNA is filed under the name Olea europaea subsp. europaea. Its description in RNAcentral is "Bacterial large subunit ribosomal RNA". It matches the Rfam family "Bacterial large subunit ribosomal RNA", at positions 2128 to 2465 of the family's 2925-position model. The record is from Rfam by way of RNAcentral. Lineage: Eukaryota; Viridiplantae; Streptophyta; Magnoliopsida; Lamiales; Oleaceae.
GCUCCAUCAAGGAAGAUUGAUGGAGGUUAGGAUUUCCCAACCUAUGUAUGUAUCAUAAAAAGUCUCCAAAUAUACCACUCUGAAGAUCUAGAAUUCCCUUAUGUCAAGAUCUACGGGCUAAGGGACAAUCUCAUGUAGAUAGUUUCUAUGGGGCAUAGGCCUCCCAAAAGGUAACGGAGGCGUCCAAAGGUUUCCUCGGGCUGGAAGAAGAUUGGCCCUCGCAAAAGCAGAAUGGAGCGUAACUGCAAGACCCACCCGUCGAGCAGGGACGACAAUCGACCUAAACUUAAACCUAACCUCUUGAAAGCUAUAAAAUAGAAAGUGUCUAAAAUCAACGGGAAA